UGGCAUCGAUGAAGAACGCAGCGAAAUGCGAUAAGUAAUGUGAAUUGCAGAAUUCAGUGAAUCAUCGAAUCUUUGAACGCACAUUGCGCCCAUUAGUAUUCUAGUGGGCAUGCCUAUUCGAGCGUCAUUUCAACCCUUAAGCCUAGUUGCUUAGUGUUGGGAAUCUGCCCUGUAUUUAUAGGGCAGUUCCUUAAAGUGAUCGGCGGAGUUAGGGCAUACUCUAAGCGUAGUAAUAUUCUUCUCGCUUCUGUAGUUGUCCUGGCGGCUUGCCGUUAAACCCCUAUAUUUCUAGUGGUUGACCUCGGAUUAGGUAGGAAUACCCGCUGAACUUAAGCAUAUCAAUAAGCGGAGGAAAAGAAACCAACAGGGAUUGCCCUAGUAACGGCGAGUGAAGCGGCAACAGCUCAAAUUUGAAAUCUGGCCCUAGCGGUCCGAGUUGUAAUUUGUAGAGGAUGCUUUUGGUUAGGUGCCUUCUGAGUUCCCUGGAACGGGACGCCAGAGAGGGUGAGAGCCCCGUACGGUUGGACACCGAGCCUCUAUAUAGCUCCUUCGACGAGUCGAGUAGUUUGGGAAUGCUGCUCUAAAUGGGAGGUAAAUUUCUUCUAAAGCUAAAUACCGGCCAGAGACCGAUAGCGCACAAGUAGAGUGAUCGAAAGAUGAAAAGUACUUUGAAAAGAGGGUUAAAUAGCACGUGAAAUUGUUGAAAGGGAAGCGUUUGCGACCAGACUUUUUCCAGGCGGAUCAUCCKGUGUUCUCACCGGUGCACUUCGCCUGGUUUAGGCCAGCAUCGGUUCUCUUAGGGGGAUAAAGGCCUGGGGAACGUAGCUCCUUCGGG
Molecule: ribosomal RNA, 835 nt
Filed under: Sordariomycetes sp. genotype 1
Lineage: Eukaryota; Fungi; Ascomycota; Sordariomycetes
Description: eukaryotic LSU rRNA
Rfam family: Eukaryotic large subunit ribosomal RNA (bases 297-835)
Source: RNAcentral